Molecule: ribosomal RNA, 1266 nt
Filed under: uncultured Acinetobacter sp.
Lineage: Bacteria; Pseudomonadati; Pseudomonadota; Gammaproteobacteria; Moraxellales; Moraxellaceae
Description: bacterial SSU rRNA
Rfam family: Bacterial small subunit ribosomal RNA
Source: RNAcentral
AGCUUGCUACCUGACCUAGCGGCGGACGGGUGAGUAAUGCUUAGGAAUCUGCCUAUUAGUGGGGGACAACAUUCCGAAAGGAAUGCUAAUACCGCAUACGCCCUACGGGGGAAAGCAGGGGAUCUUCGGACCUUGCGCUAAUAGAUGAGCCUAAGUCAGAUUAGCUAGUUGGUGGGGUAAAGGCCUACCAAGGCGACGAUCUGUAGCGGGUCUGAGAGGAUGAUCCGCCACACUGGGACUGAGACACGGCCCAGACUCCUACGGGAGGCAGCAGUGGGGAAUAUUGGACAAUGGGCGAAAGCCUGAUCCAGCCAUGCCGCGUGUGUGAAGAAGGCCUUUUGGUUGUAAAGCACUUUAAGCGAGGAGGAGGCUACUGAGAUUAAUACUCUUGGAUAGUGGACGUUACUCGCAGAAUAAGCACCGGCUAACUCUGUGCCAGCAGCCGCGGUAAUACAGAGGGUGCGAGCGUUAAUCGGAUUUACUGGGCGUAAAGCGUGCGUAGGCGGCUUUUUAAGUCGGAUGUGAAAUCCCUGAGCUUAACUUAGGAAUUGCAUUCGAUACUGGGAAGCUAGAGUAUGGGAGAGGAUGGUAGAAUUCCAGGUGUAGCGGUGAAAUGCGUAGAGAUCUGGAGGAAUACCGAUGGCGAAGGCAGCCAUCUGGCCUAAUACUGACGCUGAGGUACGAAAGCAUGGGGAGCAAACAGGAUUAGAUACCCUGGUAGUCCAUGCCGUAAACGAUGUCUACUAGCCGUUGGGGCCUUUGAGGCUUUAGUGGCGCAGCUAACGCGAUAAGUAGACCGCCUGGGGAGUACGGUCGCAAGACUAAAACUCAAAUGAAUUGACGGGGGCCCGCACAAGCGGUGGAGCAUGUGGUUUAAUUCGAUGCAACGCGAAGAACCUUACCUGGUCUUGACAUAGUAAGAACUUUCCAGAGAUGGAUUGGUGCCUUCGGGAACUUACAUACAGGUGCUGCAUGGCUGUCGUCAGCUCGUGUCGUGAGAUGUUGGGUUAAGUCCCGCAACGAGCGCAACCCUUUUCCUUAUUUGCCAGCGGGUUAAGCCGGGAACUUUAAGGAUACUGCCAGUGACAAACUGGAGGAAGGCGGGGACGACGUCAAGUCAUCAUGGCCCUUACGACCAGGGCUACACACGUGCUACAAUGGUCGGUACAAAGGGUUGCUACCUAGCGAUAGGAUGCUAAUCUCAAAAAGCCGAUCGUAGUCCGGAUUGGAGUCUGCAACUCGACUCCAUGAAGUCGGAAUCGCUAG